Molecule: ribosomal RNA, 253 nt
Filed under: uncultured bacterium
Lineage: Bacteria
Description: partial 16S ribosomal RNA
Rfam family: Bacterial small subunit ribosomal RNA
Source: RNAcentral
UACGUAGGGCGCAAGCGUUAGCCGGAAUUAUUGGGCGUAAAGAGCUCGUAGGCGGUUUGUCGCGUCUGCCGUGAAAGUCCGGGGCUCAACUCCGGAUCUGCGGUGGGUACGGGCAGACUAGAGUGAUGUAGGGGAGACUGGAAUUCCUGGUGUAGCGGUGAAAUGCGCAGAUAUCAGGAGGAACACCGAUGGCGAAGGCAGGUCUCUGGGCAUUAACUGACGCUGAGGAGCGAAAGCAUGGGGAGCGAACAGG